AUUGCUUGAACCUGGGAGGUGGAGGUUGCAGUGAGCUGAGAUCACGCCACUGCACUCCAGCCUGGGCCACAGAGUGAGACCCUGUCUC
This is a microRNA precursor of Rhinopithecus bieti (black snub-nosed monkey), 88 nucleotides long. The record is from Ensembl. Lineage: Eukaryota; Metazoa; Chordata; Mammalia; Primates; Cercopithecidae.